Schistosoma mattheei is the source of this 48-nucleotide non-coding RNA. The record is from Rfam. Lineage: Eukaryota; Metazoa; Platyhelminthes; Trematoda; Strigeidida; Schistosomatidae.
AUCCAGCUGACGAGUCUCAAAUAGGAUGAAAAGCUCAUCAAACUGGAU